UACAGAGGGUGCGAGCGUUAAUCGGAAUUACUGGGCGUAAAGCGCGCGUAGGCGGCUUUGCAAGUCGGGUGUGAAAUCCCCAGGCUUAACCUGGGAACUGCAUUUGUGACUGCAUUGCUGGAGUGCGGCAGAGGGGGAUGGAAUUCCGCGUGUAGCAGUGAAAUGCGUAGAUAUGCGGAGGAACACCGAUGGCGAAGGCAAUCCCCUGGGCCUGCACUGACGCUCAUGCACGAAAGCGUGGGGAGCAAACAGG
RNAcentral lists this ribosomal RNA (253 nucleotides) under uncultured bacterium. RNAcentral's name for it is "partial 16S ribosomal RNA". It matches the Rfam family "Bacterial small subunit ribosomal RNA", at positions 524 to 776 of the family's 1533-position model. The record is from RNAcentral.